ACGAGUUUGAUCAGUGGCUACGAGGACGAACGCUGGCGGCACGCCUAACACAUGCAAGUCGAACGGAGAUGAGAACUUCGGUUCUUUGAUCAGUGGCGGACGGGUGAGUAACGCGUGAGUAACCUGCCUUACAGAGGGGGACAACAGUUGGAAACGACUGCUAAUACCGCAUAAUAUACCGACAGGGCAUCCUGAUGGUAUCAAAGGAGUAAUCCGCUGUAAGAUGGACUCGCGUCCAAUUAGAUAGUUGGUGGGGUAACGGCCCACCAAGUCGACGAUUGGUAGCCGGACUGAGAGGUUGAACGGCCACAUUGGGACUGAGACACGGCCCAGACUCCUACGGGAGGCAGCAGUGGGGGAUAUUGCACAAUGGGGGAAACCCUGAUGCAGCAACGCCGCGUGAGGGAAGAAGGUUUUCGGAUUGUAAACCUCUGUUUUUAGUGAAGAAACAAAUGACGGUAGCUAAAGAGGAAGCCACGGCUAACUACGUG
RNAcentral lists this ribosomal RNA (491 nucleotides) under uncultured bacterium. RNAcentral's name for it is "bacterial SSU rRNA". It matches the Rfam family "Bacterial small subunit ribosomal RNA", at positions 1 to 507 of the family's 1533-position model. The record is from RNAcentral.